This is a long non-coding RNA of Brassica oleracea var. oleracea, 1926 nucleotides long. RefSeq lists it as uncharacterized. The transcript is spliced from 6 exons. NCBI's taxonomy places the organism in Eukaryota, Viridiplantae, Streptophyta, Magnoliopsida, Brassicales, Brassicaceae. The record is from RefSeq and is a predicted model, not a curated record.
CAUACAGUCGACGCUAAUCCAGGCCUCCAUCAACGUCCACGGGCUCAACAGUUUCCAACACCUGCUCAACCAAGGAGCUGUUUAUGAUCUUAGCCUUUUCGAUGUGACAAGGAGCAGCCCUAACUUUCAAUUCGCUGAUGCGACUGUUGCAAUCAGAUUCACGGAGCAAACCCUCUUCGUCGAGCUAACCGAACCAUGUCCCCUAUACCGACUCAGAUCUUCAGGUCUUCAUGGCAUUUGCUAAUACCAACACAGAGUUACUAGGUUUCUUUCCCGUCAUCUAAUUUCGAAUUGCUGCUACUCUAAACAUGUGAAGCCACAUUAAACUAUCAGUCACCGUUAAGACCUGAAGAUAAAACGUGUAGAUAUUGUUGGAGAAGUGAAGGGGUUUCGAGCCAUCUUCUAUGACAAAACUCAGACAGCUCAGCACAUCAUAGCGAAUAUCAUAAUUGAGAGGUCUUAAUGAAAUCUACUUUCACCUUUGUGUUCGGUUGUUUAUGUUUACUAAAUCUACUUGGUCCUUUAUGUUAGUCUUUUUAGAAUACUAAACACUAGACAGCUAAUUUGUUCCAUUUUAAGUAAUUUUUUAACAUGAGUUUAUGUAGAGUUACUCAUGUCUGCCUUAGUGUUUUAGACAAUCUUCUUAUCCUCCUCGAUGAGAAAUUGGUCGCCUUAGGUGUAGAAUCCAAGGUCUUCCUAGCUACAAACAUCAACUCAAAAUUGGUUAUUUAAAUAUUUCUCUUUGCAUUUAUAAGUUUAUUUCUCAAACUACAGAUAUGUUGGUCCUUUCAUAGUACUCUUCUUUCAGGGAUGUAUUUUCCUUAACGCUACCUCUGGGACUCAGUUCUAUUCCGACGAUGAGAGCUACUAUCACAAGAACUACUUGGAAAGGCACUUUCCCAAUGAAGAAGUAUCGGCCUCCAACUCUACGAAGUAUGGGGGUGUGAGGAAGAUUGAUUCUUUGACUGUCUUGGAGUGAAAUGCAUAUAUGAUUACUCCAAGCCCACAGACAGCUGAAUUCAUAUGCACUGUUAAAGUGUAGGAGAUAUAUACUGAUAAUGGAUGGUCCUACAUAUCAUGUUCUAAGUAUGUACGUAAAUUGCAAAGGAGAUUAUCGUCCUUCACCAGCUUGCAAUAAUGAAAACGCAGUCGGAGUUGUUAGGUGCAUAUUGCAGAUGGUAGUAUCGGAUGCAUCUGACACCGCUGUCUUUGUCGCAUUUGACACUACAAUGACUCAGGUAAUGAAUGUGCAUGUGCGUGCUGCUGAAGUCUCCCAACUCCUGGACGUUGUAUGGAAGACGUACAUGGCAGAGCCCUCAAAAAAUUGUUAGCUGUACCUUAACCUUCCAGUUGAAGCUCACACCAUUCAAUUUCUAUACAAAACAUCAGAGAUGUACUAUCUCAAGCAUUUACGAUCACCACCAGCGCAACCCCUUGAUGAUUUUUCUGCUCAGCAGGGAGGUAACAACCAUCCUGAUAAUGAUAUUCCAGGUGCUGGUUCAAAGGUGAAGAGUUGUACUGAUGUGAAGAACAAUGUUCCCGUGAACAUGAGAUGUUGCAAUAAUGGUGGGGCGUUGAAUGGAUACGCCAGGAAGCUGUUCAGAAUGCGGUCCCUGUUGUUUCUGCCCCAACCUCCGAAUUUCCAUGGGCUACUGAUGACAGACCUACUGGGGAGAAGGCCUGGACUGAUUAGACUCGCAGCUUUUUGAGUCUACUAUCCUUUACUUGACUCUCACCUCUUAGAUGCACUGCAGUCUUUUUUUACUUUUGUUUUUUUAAUGAAUAAUUUCCCUUCAGUUUCUUCUCUGUUAAUGUGUUUUCCACCUAAGCUUCUACUCUGUUCAAUGAGUUUGCAAUGGUUUACGAUGGUUACUAUAAACUUUGUUCGACAAAUCGUUAUAGGCAGAAAAUAUUUAUGUCGCACCA